RNAcentral lists this long non-coding RNA (503 nucleotides) under Junco hyemalis (dark-eyed junco). RNAcentral describes it as "lncRNA (ENSJHYG00000007751.1)". The record is from RNAcentral. Lineage: Eukaryota; Metazoa; Chordata; Aves; Passeriformes; Passerellidae.
CCUUGCCCAUACUAGAAAGGUGGUUAACAUGAAGUAAGCGAGCUGGACUUAAAUUCACCCAUUUUUUUUAUGUGGAUAUAGGGCAUAUAGUUUUGACCUGAAUUAGUCCAUGUUAAUUAAAUAUAACCUAAACAUUGCUUUUUCUAGGACAGGGCUGACACAUUGCCUACAGACCUUUCACUGUCUGACCUUUAGUACACACAGGAUGUGACACUCUAUUUAUUUCAUCUUACUCCAUUUUUCCACAGGACUUCUGAUUCUUCCAAUGUAUCUGUGAUGGAUAGAGAAUGAAGCAGGCCUGUGUCACAUACAAAGCAGGAAGAAGUGGAGUAGUCUUGGGGUUAAGGAAUUCCACACAGGGAAUUGAAAUCGGAUUUCUGCGAAGUCAGCUGAAGUCAAUAAAACCUGCAGAUGUGGGGCUGCUCUGAGAAUUCAAGGUCUUGGGUGGUUGGCACUGUACAUUGAGUACCAGAGGUGAAGAAAGAAAGUCUUAAAAUGUCUGA